RNAcentral lists this transfer RNA (77 nucleotides) under Actinokineospora spheciospongiae. RNAcentral's name for it is "tRNA-Ser". It matches the Rfam family "tRNA". From Rfam's summary of the family: Transfer RNA (tRNA) molecules are approximately 80 nucleotides in length. Their secondary structure includes four short double-helical elements and three loops (D, anti-codon, and T loops). Further hydrogen bonds mediate the characteristic L-shaped molecular structure. tRNAs have two regions of fundamental functional importance: the anti-codon, which is responsible for specific mRNA codon recognition, and the 3' end, to which the tRNAs corresponding amino acid is attached (by aminoacyl-tRNA synthetases). tRNAs cope with the degeneracy of the genetic code in two manners: having more than one tRNA (with a specific anti-codon) for a particular amino acid; and 'wobble' base-pairing, i.e. permitting non-standard base-pairing at the 3rd anti-codon position. Lineage: Bacteria; Bacillati; Actinomycetota; Actinomycetes; Pseudonocardiales; Pseudonocardiaceae. The record is from RNAcentral.
CCUGGUGUAGCUCAACGGCAGAGCACCUGGCUCGAGACCAGGUGGGUGCGAGUUCGACCCUCGCCACCAGGUCCCCC